RNAcentral lists this ribosomal RNA (266 nucleotides) under uncultured bacterium. RNAcentral's name for it is "partial 16S ribosomal RNA". It matches the Rfam family "Bacterial small subunit ribosomal RNA", at positions 793 to 1055 of the family's 1533-position model. The record is from RNAcentral.
GUCCACGCCCUAAACGAUGUUAACUGGUUGUUGGGAAGGUUCCUUCUCAGUAACGUAGCUAACGCGUGAAGUUGACCGCCUGGGGAGUACGGCCGCAAGGUUGAAACUCAAAGGAAUUGACGGGGACCCGGCACAAGCGGUGGAUGAUGUGGUUUAAUUCGAUGCAACGCGAAAAACCUUAACCUACCCUUGACAUGUCUGAAAUCCUGCAGAGAUGUGGGAGUGCUCGAAAGAGAAUCAGAACACAGGUGCUGCAUGGCCGUCGU